This 276-nucleotide ribosomal RNA is filed under the name uncultured prokaryote. RNAcentral's name for it is "partial 16S ribosomal RNA". It matches the Rfam family "Bacterial small subunit ribosomal RNA", at positions 524 to 800 of the family's 1533-position model. The record is from RNAcentral.
UACGUAGGUGGCAAGCGUUGUCCGGAAUUACUGGGCGUAAAGGGUGCGUAGGUGGUUUCUUAAGUCAGAGGUGAAAGGCUACGGCUCAACCGUAGUAAGCAUUUGAAACUGGGAAACUUGAGUGCAGGAGAGGAGAGUGGAAUUCCUAGUGUAGCGGUGAAAUGCGUAGAUAUUAGGAGGAACACCAGUUGCGAAGGCGGCUCUCUGGACUGUAACUGACACUGAGGCACGAAGGCGUGGGGAGCAAACAGGAUUAGAUACCCGCGUAGUCCCUGA